Molecule: long non-coding RNA, 4767 nt
Filed under: Oryza sativa (Asian cultivated rice)
Lineage: Eukaryota; Viridiplantae; Streptophyta; Magnoliopsida; Poales; Poaceae
Description: long non-coding RNA (OSAT_LNC000928)
Rfam family: MIR2871 microRNA precursor family (bases 1036-1151)
Source: RNAcentral
UUGGCAGCUGUCCUUUAGAAUUGGAAGCAUAUAAACACCACACCCAAAUUCCAACUCCUCCUCGCUCGCCGCUUCCUCCGCUCCGCCGCAGCCAACCCCUCUCUGCCUCUUUCCUCUGCGCCUGCGCCGCCGCCUCACCGGCCUCCUCGGCUCUCCACCCCACGCGCCGCCGCCAACUUCCUCCAUCCAUUCAUCCACAUCCGCGGUCAAUGGCGUCGAUGCGGCAUUGGCGACAACGGUAUGUUGUGCUCGUCAAUGGUGAGUUCUUGGCUGCUCGCUCUUUGCCUGGAUCCCCAAUCCAGUUUGUGCUCGGUUUCAGUCCCCGAAUCCCUCCUCUGCUCAAUGUUGGGGAUGUGAGUUUCUUGCUCUCUCUCUCUCUCUCUCUCUCUCUGAUUAUGAUUAGUUGUUGAAAUUCCAGAUGAUAUAUUGAUAUCCAAACAUAAACUAAAAUGAGAUGUAGUCCAGCUUUCUAGAUGCCUAACCCCACCAGUAGCUAGGACCCUCCCUGAUCUGGUUGGUGUCAAGUGAGGAUUGGUUGAGCAUGCUUUCGCUGCUCAUGGUGGAGUAUUGUGAGAACUAUUCGCUCUAUUAUUGCCUCAGCAUGUGAUCGAGCGUAGUGGAGCGCUCUUAGAAUUAUUCGCUCUAUUAUUGCCUCAUGAUGUGAUCGGUAUUAAGCCGCAUGUUAACAUCAGGGAGGGAGGGAGGAGGGGAUCCAUUCUUCUUUGUAAUAAAGAACUUUUGAUAAGAAAUUCUUCUGCUAAAGAAUAGAUGAGCCUAUAAAUAGAAGCUUCAGCGCACUCUAUAUUAUAUGAGAUAACAAAAGAAAGAGUCAAAGGCUCAAAUCCAUCGAUAUGGCUGCAAGACUGUUUGCGAUUCCCCAUGAAAUCCAAAUAUGGAAAUCAAAAGGCUUGAAGUAGAUACUGUUGGCAUACACACAACCAUAGAGUUCAUCUUCAGAACCAAAUCCACGUUCUUGAAAAUAUGAGGAGGGUGCUGCUGGAAGAACAACAAUCGCUCAUCGUGAUGGCUGCCCACCAUGGUGACCGUAGAAACUAGCAUAGAAAAAAGUAGAUAUCUCAAGUGACUUUGUUCAUUUACGUUGGGAUAGACAAGUAACUACCUUUUCUAUUUUAGUUUCUAUGGUCACUUUGGUGGCAGCCAUGAUAGACAGAAACAAAGGCUCACCGAUGAAACCCAGGACUUGCUCUACUUCAAGCUUAUUGUUUUCUAUAUUCUGGAUUUCCUGAGGAAUCACUAGUAGUCGUUCAGCGAUAUCCAUGGCUUUGACUCUUUCUUUCUUGUCCCGCACAAUAUAGAGUGUGAUGAAGCUUCUAUUAAUAGGCUUGACUUUAGCAGUAGAAUUUCUUAUUAGAAAUUCUAUUUUUAAUAGACUAUACCAUAGAGAAUUUUCCUAGGAUUCAUGUCCUCCAUUAGUGCGAAAAAGAUUGAAUCUCUUGAGUCCCCCUUGGUUUUGACACACAGCUUAAUCCUGAUCACAUCCUGAGGCAAUAGUAGAGUGAAUAAUUCCGAGUACUCCACCACGAGCAGUGAAAGCACGCUCAGCCAAUCCUCACUCACUGCUCAUUAUGUGCUCAGCGAGAUCGUUGCCAAGGCCAUGCUUUAUAUAUUACUAGAAAAAAUGCCCGUGCGAUGCAACGGGUGGAGACUAUUUUAAUCUUAUUAUUGUUAUACGGUUAGUUAAGAUGAAAUUCAUUGUGAGAAUUCGUUUGGAUAUAUUUUUUUUUAGAAAAUCAUGUGCUACAAUUAGAAGUCCGAUCAUCUCAAGUUAGUAUGUAUUUUUUUAAAGGGAUUUUUUAUACAACUCCUUUUGUAUUUCCAAAACCGAACGAACUUAAAAUCCGACUCAAAUAAAUAUGGAUUUGUAUUUCCAAAAGCGAACGAACUUAAAGACCGACUCAUACACGGAUGACGUACCAAAAUACCGGCAAAAACAUCUUCAAUUUUUAUAAUAGUAGAGAUAUAAAAAGGUGAGCAAAAUAUAUUUUAUUGGAAAAAAACUGUACUUGAGAUAUUCUGAGUCCGUUUGGACUAAGGGUCAUGUAUCUAUUCACCUGUUUGGAAUGAAGGAAAUGGUUGAGCAAUUAAUAUGAAAUACUGUUGAAAACCUACGAUUUUGCAGGAAACAGAAACAUUCAACUGGAACAUAUUUCAGUUGAAACCUAUGGUAGCAUAUUGCAGUAAGCAACUUAGAACUGAUAUGUCUCUGAAGCAAGCAUGCAGUAAAUUUUUUAUUUUUUUAGAACUGACAUCUCUGAAGCAAGCAUGCAGCAAGUAGUGGCAUAGAUUAACUUGUUGAGUUUAACAAUAUAUGCCAACUAGACCAUCAACAAAACAUAGGCAUCGGGCAUGUAUCUCUAUUUCUGCCAAAUCUUUGCUGUAAUGCCUGCUUACAACAAUUGGUUAUUGAAAAAAUGCGUUACAAUUUAGCACUACCCAGCUUACAUUCCUUUUCUUCCACUCAUGUUAGAACCUCAAAAUUUUCUAAGACAAAUAUUAUUAACAUCAACUAGGAAGUACUUAUGAAUCAUCAUCACAGUGAGCCACAACAGUGCAUUCUGCUAAAGCUGCAAGUAGCCGUGGCAUUGGAGGCAUAUCAAGCUCCUGUAAACCCUCAAGAACCCGGACCACUUCAUUCAUUGUUGGCCGAUCAAUCUCAUUCUCUUGGAUGCACCAACAUGCAACUUUGCAAACUCUUUCAACCUCUACUAGACUGAAGUCACCAUUUAACUGCGGGUCUACCAAACUCUGGACAUCUCCCUCAUGAAGCUUGCUAAUGGCUUGCACAGGGAAAAAGGCAACUUGAUCACUAUUGUCAUCAGUAUGAACUUUAUAUGAAUUCCUUCUUCCUGAUAAGAUUUCCAAAAGUACCAUACCGAAGCUAUAAACAUCAACUUUUGGUGUAAUAGCAACUCCACUAAUCCACUCUGGAGCAAGAUAUCCUACUGUGCCUCUGAAUGUAGUCAAAACUCGGCUAAAGUUCCUUCCUACAAAUGCUGCCAUCCCAAAGUCUGCAAUUUUAGGGGCAAACGAUGCAUCGAGAAGUAUGUUUUCUGGCUUAAUAUCACAAUGUAUGAUGCAUUCGUUGCAGCUCUGAUGCAAGUAGGACAAUCCUCUAGCAACUCCUAUGGCUAGGUUAUACCUGGUGGUCCAAUUCAGGACAGUAGCCUUGCUCUGAAACAGAUGGGCAUCAAGAGAACCAUUUACCAUGUGUUCAUACACAAGUAGUCUCUCAUCACCUUCGCAACAGAAACCAAUCAAUUUGACAAGGUUGAUAUGUUGGAUCAAUCCAAUUGAGCUCACCUCAGCCCUGAAUUGCUUCUCUCCCUGACGAGCACCGUCAAGCUUUUUCACUGCUAUAAUAGUCGAGUCACUUAGCACUCCCUUGAAUACAGAACCAAAACCACCUCCUCCCAGCUUUUCAGAGAAAUUUUUAGUAGCAUGACAUAAAUCAUUGUAUCUAAAGGCCACAAUUCCACCACUACAUUGACUGUCGUGUAAUUGUGCGCCACAGAACCUUAGUUUCUUCCUUAAUACCAGUAAGAUCAGCAUGAGCAUUACCAACAAACUGACAAUGCUUGCAGCAACAACUGCAACGAUUGGCUUUAUUUUGUUUUUUCUCGAACUUGGCACAUCUUUGGCGGCAAGCCGAAGGUAGAGAACAUCUUCAGAACUAUUAUCAAUGCCAUCAUUCCUAUUUACACUAAGCAAAUCUCCAUGCCAAAUAGAGCAUUUACUAUUUUCGUAGGAAUAGGCAUUGCAGGAGCAGUAACUGAGACAAGCCUGUGCACAUUUGCUCUGAGUGGUAGCAUUGUCUACAAUUUGGGGGUUGUAGGGCAAUCUAACACGAGCUAUGGUGUGGAACACGUCUGUGGAGCUUGUCGUGUUACUGCAAUCUAACGGAGUGUUUCUAGAGCAACCUGCUGUUCUAUUAUCAAGCUCCCAAUCUCGAGGCGACUUUUGAGAGAAGCUCUCCAUACAGUCACAGAAUGGAUGUGCAAUGCCAUUGCAGAUUGUGAAAGGUCCACAAGUAGCAUACGCCGUGCAGGGAUCAGCUGGUUGGGCAUAAACCUGCUUCCAGGAUUGUGUAUCUUGUGACCAAACAUUUAUCUCGAUCUGCCCAGAGAUGUCUAGCAAGACAUAUGCAUAAUAUGAUUCAUCCAAUAAAAUGUAUUCAUAGUACUCUUCUUCAUUGUUGUUGACAUAUGUCAUGUUAAUCCGACCUUUAGUCUCUGGAUUUAUGUUUAUCAGCUGAUUAAGUAAUGAUAUAAGUGCACUUGAUGACUUUUCAGAUGACCAAGACCAAUACAUAUUUGGGGGGUUACUACGGCUAAGGUCAAUCCCUGUGUUGUCAAGCUCAACAUAGUACAAGCCAAGACCUGGAUCAAUCAGGUUCUUCUUUGAUGUGAACCGACGAGUAAAGCCAGUGACCUUAUUCCAGCCAAACUUGGCUCCAGGAAGCAAAACAUCUGACGGAUAGUCAAAGCUCUGCCACAACACAUUGGGUGAGCUUCCUAUCACAAGGUUUCCAUCGUUUGAGAGAACGACACUGGUACUGCUGUUCAUGGUGGUGGCUGAUGUCCUAUUGACAGUACUGGACCAGAUUAUGGAUGCAUUGCUUGAGAUGACAAGGUUGCCAUCUUUUGAUAGUUUCAGCUGCGUUUGAUUGAGCUGGAGUUCAGUGACUGGACUAUCCCUAUUAGCAACCCAGACAGUAGUAAAAACUGAGAUGUUACUGAACCAUAUUCC